This 477-nucleotide ribosomal RNA is filed under the name uncultured bacterium. RNAcentral describes it as "bacterial SSU rRNA". It matches the Rfam family "Bacterial small subunit ribosomal RNA", at positions 26 to 507 of the family's 1533-position model. The record is from RNAcentral.
AGGAUGAACGCUGGCGGCGUGCUUAACACAUGCAAGUCGAACGGAGAAAGGGUAGCUUGCUAUCUUUCUUAGUGGCGGACGGGUGAGUAACGCGUGGGUAACCUGCCCUUUGCAGGGGGAUAACAGUGAGAAAUCACUGCUAAUACCGCAUACCAACUUCUUUCGCAUGAAAGAAGUUUGAAAGAUUUAUCGGCAAAGGAUGGACCCGCGUUGGAUUAGCUAGUUGGUGAGAUAACAGCCCACCAAGGCAACGAUCCAUAGCCGGCCUGAGAGGGUGAACGGCCACACUGGGACUGAGACACGGCCCAGACUCCUACGGGAGGCAGCAGUGGGGAAUAUUGCACAAUGGGCGAAAGCCUGAUGCAGCGACGCCGCGUGAAGGAUGAAGGUCUUCGGAUUGUAAACUUCUAUCAGCAGGGAAGAAAGGGCCUAUGGCCUAUGACGGUACCUGACUAAGAAGCCCCGGCUAACUACGUG